RNAcentral lists this long non-coding RNA (218 nucleotides) under Homo sapiens (human). RNAcentral describes it as "HSALNT0391680". Lineage: Eukaryota; Metazoa; Chordata; Mammalia; Primates; Hominidae. The record is from RNAcentral.
CAAGGGUUGCUAUGGUUUGAAUGUUCCCUCAGAAACUCGUGUUGAAACUUAACUGUCAAUGUAAUGGCAUUGGGAUGUGAGGUCUUUAAGAGGAGGCUUGCCUGCUGUCUUGUCUUCUGCCAUGGAAUGACGCUUGUCAGAUGCCACUACGAUGCUCUUGGACUUCUCAUCUUCAGAAAGCUAGGAAGAUGGAGUCUCUCUCUGUUGCCAGGCUGGAG